This 268-nucleotide ribosomal RNA is filed under the name uncultured bacterium. RNAcentral describes it as "partial 16S ribosomal RNA". It matches the Rfam family "Bacterial small subunit ribosomal RNA", at positions 355 to 640 of the family's 1533-position model. The record is from RNAcentral.
UAGGGAAUAUUAGAAAUGGACGCAAGUCUGAUCUAGCAACACCGCGUGUGAGAAGAAGGCCCUCGGGUUGUAAAGCACUUUUUGGAGGGAUUAGGAAGGAAUGUACUUCCAGAAUAAGUCUCGGCUAACUACGUGCCAGCAGCCGCGGUAACACGUAGGAGGCAAACGUUAUCCGGAUUUACUGGGCGUAAAGCGCGUGUAGGUGGUUCUGUAAGUAGGGCGUGAAAGCUCCUGGCUCAACGGGGAGAGGCCGUUCUAAACUGCAGAG